AGAAGGCCUUCAGGCUAUGACAAACACAGAGAAAUCAAAAAAUGAACGAAGAAGAUGGAAAAGGAUGUGUGAUACCAAAUCUAGAGGCCUGAUCUCAUCCUUCAGAAGGCAAAGGGCCCCUGGGAGGACUUUGUUGAACUGAAUCCGUAGUCAACUACAAUAUGACGUGUAAAAAAUGGCCUGGAGUCACUGAAAUGGGCAGUUUCUGGAUGCAGACACCCUGGGGAGGGGCCUACCUGUUCCACCCACCCACUGAUGAGAUCUUAGAUAUGCAACUCAGUCUCAGAGAGACUCCUUUUGCAAGGAUGGGGCUGGGAUAUCACUCCACUUCAUUGGAUGAAAACUCGGAUUCCAUGUGAGUGGCGCAAUAGGCCUCAUUUUCCGGGCUAGUUCAGGAUGACAAAUACAGAGAGGUUAAUCUCGCCCUGCUCGUGGAUGGGGAGAGUGGACUGACCCCAGAUCUCCUGACACCAAGCCCGGUUCUUUCCAGCCAAUGUUGUCCUGUGUACACUCCUCCGUGUGAGCCAACGAUGCACCGCAUGGUAAAGCAGCCUUCCCUGAGAACCUGGAAACGGGUCCAACUUGGAGGAAUCUCAUUAUCACUUUUCGAAGCUUUACCCUGACUGCAUGUUAAGUUGUAUAAUUUUUCUGGAUUUGGAUCUCGGAUGGAUGCUGGUUAUUGGCAAGUACUGUAUUUCAUUCGGGAAAAAUUUUCUUCAACCUGUAUUAAAAGACUGGAAAAGAAAAACAAAACAAAAAUCUUUCAUAUGAAAGGCAUUUAGGGAUUGUACUGCUAUUUGACUUAUAAAGAAAAUGGCAACAGUUCAAUAGGUUUAUUAUCUAAUUUUUUUAAGACCUAAGGAUUUAUGCCAUCUGGACCUUAUGAUUGGUCUCUGUUCAGUUUCUCCAUGAAACCCCGCACCUCUUUUUAGCCAUGGCUGAAAUAAAGCCCACGGCUGGGCUUCUCUCAUUGUCCAUAUACAUGACAGUUGUGGACUUUUAAAAAUUAUACAUAAUAAC
This is a long non-coding RNA of Canis lupus familiaris (dog), 1020 nucleotides long. RefSeq lists it as uncharacterized. NCBI's taxonomy places the organism in Eukaryota, Metazoa, Chordata, Mammalia, Carnivora, Canidae. The transcript has 3 exons. The record is from RefSeq and is a predicted model, not a curated record.